Hydnomerulius pinastri MD-312 is the source of this 79-nucleotide transfer RNA. It matches the Rfam family "tRNA". Rfam says of the family: Transfer RNA (tRNA) molecules are approximately 80 nucleotides in length. Their secondary structure includes four short double-helical elements and three loops (D, anti-codon, and T loops). Lineage: Eukaryota; Fungi; Basidiomycota; Agaricomycetes; Boletales. The record is from Rfam.
GGCCUUGUAGUCUAGAGGUACGAUACUUGCUUUGGGUACACAAUUGCAAGUGGCCUGGGUUCGAUUCCCAGCAAGGCCC